This 116-nucleotide ribosomal RNA is filed under the name Paratrachelophorus nodicornis. RNAcentral's name for it is "partial 16S ribosomal RNA". Lineage: Eukaryota; Metazoa; Arthropoda; Insecta; Coleoptera; Attelabidae. The record is from RNAcentral.
AAAGAUUUUAUGGUCGAACAGACCAAGUUUCUUAAACUUCUUCGCCUAAGACUUACUUUAAUCCAACAUCGAGGUCGCAACCCAUUCUUUCGAUAAGAACUCUAAAAAUGAUUACG